UACAGAGGUCUCGAGCGUUGUUCGGAUUCAUUGGGCGUAAAGGGUGCGUAGGUGGCGCUGUAAGUCGGGUGUGAAAUCCUGAGGCUUAACCUCGGAACUGCAUUCGAUACUGCGGUGCUUGAGGACUGGAGAGGAGACUGGAAUUCAUGGUGUAGCAGUGAAAUGCGUAGAGAUCAUGAGGAAGACCAGUGGCGAAGGCGGGUCUCUGGACAGUGCCUGACACUGAGGCACGAAGGCCAGGGGAGCAAACGGG
RNAcentral lists this ribosomal RNA (253 nucleotides) under uncultured bacterium. RNAcentral's name for it is "partial 16S ribosomal RNA". It matches the Rfam family "Bacterial small subunit ribosomal RNA", at positions 524 to 776 of the family's 1533-position model. The record is from RNAcentral.